GCCCGCUCAGAAACUCAAAGGAAUUGACGGGGCCCGCACAAGCGGUGGAGCAUGUGGUUAAUUCGAUGAUACGCGAGGAACUUACCUGGGCUCAAAUGUAUGUUGACGUAUUCUGAAAGGGAUACUUCUUCGGACAAUAUACAAGGUGCUGCAUGGUUGUCGUCAGCUCGUGCCGUGAGGUGUCGGGUUAAGUCCCAUAACGAGCGCAACCCUAUCAUUAGUUGCCAUCAGGUCAAGCUGGGGACUCUAAUGAAACUGCCUACGCAAGUAGUGAGGAAGGUGGGGAUGACGUCAAAUCAGCACGGCCCUUACGUCCAGGGCUACACACGUGCUACAAUGGCCGGUACAAAGGGCAGCUACCUGGUGACAGGAUGCUAAUCUCAAAAGCCGGUCUCAGUUCGGAUCGGAGUCUGCAACCCGACUCCGUGAAGCUGGAAUCGCUAGUAAUCGCGCAUCAGCCAUGGCGCGGUGAAUACGUUCCCGGGCCUU
RNAcentral lists this ribosomal RNA (489 nucleotides) under uncultured Sphingobacteriales bacterium. RNAcentral's name for it is "bacterial SSU rRNA". It matches the Rfam family "Bacterial small subunit ribosomal RNA", at positions 887 to 1382 of the family's 1533-position model. The record is from RNAcentral. Lineage: Bacteria; Pseudomonadati; Bacteroidota; Sphingobacteriia; Sphingobacteriales.